Long non-coding RNA from Branchiostoma belcheri (Belcher's lancelet), 345 nucleotides. RefSeq lists it as uncharacterized. The transcript is spliced from 3 exons. The record is from RefSeq and is a predicted model, not a curated record. Lineage: Eukaryota; Metazoa; Chordata; Leptocardii; Amphioxiformes; Branchiostomatidae.
UUAAUGAAUGUGAAAGCGGAAUUCAUCAGUGUGAUGGAAAUGCAAAUUGCACCAACACUGCUGGCUCCUACACCUGCACAUGUAAUGAUGGUUAUGAAGGUACAGGGAGAAGCUGUGCAGAUGUAGAUGAGUGUGCGACCAACACUGACAACUGUGAUGACAAUGCUAACUGUACGAACACCCUGGGCUCCUUCAGUUGUACCUGUCAUAGUGGCUACAUUGGAAAUGGCAUAGUUUGUACAGCAAUUGCAGUGACAACAGAAAGCACAACAACCCCAAUGUCACCAACAGAAAACACAACAACUCCAGUGUCACCAACAGGAAGAACAACUUCAAUGUCACCAA